Long non-coding RNA from Nylanderia fulva, 590 nucleotides. RefSeq lists it as uncharacterized. The record is from RefSeq and is a predicted model, not a curated record. Lineage: Eukaryota; Metazoa; Arthropoda; Insecta; Hymenoptera; Formicidae.
GAGCCGAGCGAGACCGAGCGCAGUCGAAGGUGCCGAACUCCAACGUCGAAGCACGCUCGAGGACGCUCCGCGAUUUUUACGUUAUUUAUCCGCCGCAAGGAGGACAAAGAUGAGUCUCGCGUAAAUUAGCAUCGAAAUAGUACAGCACGCAGAGUAAUUUAAACGUGGUAUCUCUCGUUGAAUUUAAUGCUUGUCGGGAGUGCGUAUCGCGCAUCGUGAAUCUUGAAUGUCAGGAAUGCCGUUGGAAUUUCAUUAAACUGCGUGACGGCAUUUAUCUCGCGAUAUUCGCCAAACGCGUCGUAGAAUGUCGUGAAAAUGUCGCGAUUGUGUAAUGUCGAAUUUUCUCUCGCGAAGGUGUAGUGCCGUAUAUAACGGGAAAUCCGUUAUCGGAUUUGGAUUGCCGAGUAAAGUAUCGCGCGAUAAUCGUGUCGUGUUAAUUGUUGUGCGCGGUAAUUAGUUGUACUUUUAUUCGAACAUGUAUGAAGGUUCAUCGUGGAUUCGAAACUGCACAGUCCCGACAAGAUGACAUCUACAAAGGGAUAUUAAGGCUGACAAUCACGGUUGGAGCUGCUGUAAACCGAUGGUCGUGA